This 741-nucleotide ribosomal RNA is filed under the name Candidatus Phytoplasma pruni. RNAcentral's name for it is "bacterial SSU rRNA". It matches the Rfam family "Bacterial small subunit ribosomal RNA", at positions 603 to 1353 of the family's 1533-position model. The record is from RNAcentral. Lineage: Bacteria; Bacillati; Mycoplasmatota; Mollicutes; Acholeplasmatales; Acholeplasmataceae.
CAGUGCUUAACGCUGUUGUGCUAUAGAAACUGUUUUACUAGAGUGAGAUAGAGGCAAGCGGAAUUCCAUGUGUAGCGGUAAAAUGCGUAAAUAUAUGGAGGAACACCAGAGGCGUAGGCGGCUUGCUGGGUCUUUACUGACGCUGAGGCACGAAAGCGUGGGGAGCAAACAGGAUUAGAUACCCUGGUAGUCCACGCCGUAAACGAUGAGUACUAAGUGUCGGGUAAAACUGGUACUGAAGUUAACACAUUAAGUACUCCGCCUGAGUAGUACGUACGCAAGUAUGAAACUUAAAGGAAUUGACGGGACUCCGCACAAGCGGUGGAUCAUGUUGUUUAAUUCGAAGAUACACGAAAAACCUUACCAGGUCUUGACAUUUUCUUGCGAAGUUAUAGAAAUAUAAUGGAGGUUAUCAGGAAAACAGGUGGUGCAUGGUUGUCGUCAGCUCGUGUCGUGAGAUGUUAGGUUAAGUCCUAAAACGAGCGCAACCCUUGUCGUUAAUUGCCAGCAUGUAAUGAUGGGGACUUUAACGAGACUGCCAAUGAAAAAUUGGAGGAAGGUGGGGAUUACGUCAAAUCAUCAUGCCCCUUAUGAUCUGGGCUACAAACGUGAUACAAUGGUUGAUACAAAGAGUAGCUGAAACGCGAGUUCUUAGCCAAUCUCAAAAAAUCAAUCUCAGUUCGGAUUGAAGUCUGCAACUCGACUUCAUGAAGUUGGAAUCGCUAGUAAUCGCGAAUCAGC